RNAcentral lists this ribosomal RNA (744 nucleotides) under uncultured bacterium. RNAcentral describes it as "bacterial SSU rRNA". It matches the Rfam family "Bacterial small subunit ribosomal RNA", at positions 8 to 796 of the family's 1533-position model. The record is from RNAcentral.
AGAGUUUGAUCAUGGCUCAGAGCGAACGCUUGGCGGCAGGCUUAACACAUGCAAGUCGAGCGGGCGUAGCAAUACGUCAGCGGCAGACGGGUGAGUAACGCGUGGGAACGUACCUUUUGGUUCGGAACAACACAGGGAAACUUGUGCUAAUACCGGAUAAGCCCUUACGGGGAAAGAUUUAUCGCCGAAAGAUCGGCCCGCGUCUGAUUAGCUAGUUGGUGAGGUAACGGCUCACCAAGGCGACGAUCAGUAGCUGGUCUGAGAGGAUGAUCAGCCACAUUGGGACUGAGACACGGCCCAAACUCCUACGGGAGGCAGCAGUGGGGAAUAUUGGACAAUGGGCGCAAGCCUGAUCCANNCAUGCCGCGUGAGUGAUGGAGGCCCUAGGGUUGUAAAGCUCUUUUGCGCGGGAAGAUAAUGACGGUUCCGCAAGAAUAAGCCCCGGCUAACUUCGUGCCAGCAGCCGCGGUAAUACGAAGGGGGCUAGCGUUGCUCGGAAUCACUGGGCGUAAAGGGUGCGUAGGCGGGUCUUUAAGUCAGGGGUGAAAUCCUGGAGCUCAACUCCAGAACUGCCUUUGAUACUGAGGAUCUUGAGUUCGGGAGAGGUGAGUGGAACUGCGAGUGUAGAGGUGAAAUUCGUAGAUAUUCGCAAGAACCCAGUGGCGAAGGCGGCUCACUGGCCCGAUACUGACGCUGAGGCACGAAAGCGUGGGGAGCAAACAGGAUUAGAUACCCUAGUAGUCC